UCUUCCCGCCGUUCCAUUCAACGACGACCUCGAAUUGGAUUCCUGGUCGUCUUGCUCCCUCCUCUCUCUCUCACUCUACCUUUCUGUUCCCAUCCAUCUCUCUCUUCGCAGGUUAGGUAUCUACUCCAAUCGAGGAGCUGAAUAGUUUACAUGAAGAACAUCGUUGGAUUGAAGCCCUAGGAGCGGGACUUCGAGAUAUUUCAUCGUUUAAUGGUUGUUGCUUUUCGGAGGUUUCGUUUGGAGCUCGGAAUUCUUCGCUGUUCUGCACCUAUUGAAUGGAUAGUGAUGUUACUAAAGUUGAUCGGGUGCCGAAGAUUCCCUGCGAACCAAAGGUACAUGCUGCAGUCUGCUGUGAACUCGUGAAGGUUUUGGAAAAAAUUUGUUGCAUUCUUCCUGCUAUAGAAUCAGCUCGACCAGGAAGCUCAUCUGGAAUACAAGUGUUAUGUACUCUGAACAAUACGGUUGAAAAAAGCCAGCUGCUCGUUCGUUACUGUUCAGAGUCCAGUAAACUAUAUUUGGCUCUCACAACAGAAUCUAUUGUUUUGAGAUGUGAAAGAAUCCGAAGUCAACUGAUUCAAUGUUUUUGUGAAAUCGAGACAAUGGUUCCAACACGGUUGGCAUCACAGAUUGCUGAAUUUCUUGAUUAUCUCAGAGAAGUAAAAUUCAUCAUUAAUCCUGUAGAAGAGGAGGCAGGAAAAAUCUUAUCUAACCUUCUGGAGCAAAUCAACUCAAGCGAAGACCAAGAAUUGGGUGCCUUCCAAAAGGUAGCUUCAAGGUUAAACAUCACAUCUUCAAUAGCUCUUUUGGUAGAGAGAAGGGCCAUAAGAAGGCUUCUGGAUAAGUUUCAUAAUGUUAAUGAUAAAAAAAAGAAAAUACUAAUGUAUUUCCUUUAUCUCAUUAAGACUUAUGAAAAGAAAUUAAGGCCUGAUACAUCGGAACGAAGAGAGUAUGUAAAUUUGCAGAAUAACCCCUUAAAAGAUAAUGUUGAAGUUCAAACUGAAUUAAUCAGUGGUGACUCACCUCCUGAAGAAUUCUAUUGUCCGAUUUCAUUAAGUCUAAUGUUUGAUCCGGUCGUCAUAGCUUCUGGAAAAACUUACGAAAGGAUUUUUAUCGAAAAAUGGUUUGGCGAGGGGCACGAUACAUGCCCUAAGACUCGGAAAAAAUUGGAAAAUUUUUCUGUGGUUCCUAAUUCAAGCAUGAAGGAUCUUAUUUCAAACUGGUGCAGAAAGAAUGGCGUCUUUAUUCCAAAUCCUUGCACCCAGCUUGAAGACACAGACAUUCAAGCAUUGGAGUCCAUUUCCAGCAGCUCAGUUUCAAGUUUGAAAAACAUUUCUACAGUAUUGUUGGAUGGAACCAAAGGAGACUACUUUUUAUCUGAAAGUGAGAAAAAUAUGUCAUCUUUGACGUUUGGUUCUCGUUGUUCUACAGAUUCAUCUCAUGUUAAAGACAUCGAGGGCUCAAACAAUAAUUAUGUGAAAUUGUUCUCCUGGAGUGAAGAUUACCAAAAUUAUCAAUCUUUUUCAAAAUUUAGUCAGGAUAUGUAUCUGAGGUUCUUAUUUCGUUUCUCUGAGCUUCCAACUUUACUCCAAGUUAAAGCAGUGGAAGAAAUAAAAGACUUACUGGAAGGCGAGGAAAUGGACCAAUGCGGCCUCCUCUCUAGUGGGUUUGCUGAAGCACUCAUGGUAUUUCUGAAGAAAGUAUGCUCAUUAUCUGAUUUUCUAGCGCAAAGAACAGGAGCUCAAAUAUUUCUUGCACUUUUGACUAAUCAGAGAUGGGAGCUUAAUUUCAAAAUUGAAGAUGUGAUUCAAAUUCUCUCUUCUCUUCUUAAUUGUGGUAUAGACCGUGAAGCCUUAAUGAUUCUGCAAAAAGUUUCUAUUCAUCCGGACUUUGUGCCACAUAUUGUCUCAUCCAGUAUUCCACUCAAAGUCAUAAAAUUUAUAAAUUCUGAGAACAGCGAACUUAUUGAGAUUGCCAUGAAGAUCCUCUCAGAGCUCUCAUCUAAUGGCGAAAUGAGAUCUCUCUUUCUUUGUUCUGGAUAUAUAGAAAAAAUUGGUCAAUUUUUGUGUGUUAAAAGUCUGGGAAAAUUUAGUUUAAAUAUUCUGGAGAAUCUUGUUUGCGAUGAAGAGGCUUUGAUGCUUAUCGCUGAUUGCAAUAGCUGCAUUGCUUCCAUAGCUGAAGUUCUUGAAUUCGGUGGACCCGAGCAGGAACAAGCUGUUGCCAUCUUUCUUUCCCUUUGUUCUCGCAAUUUGAGAAAUUGCCUACUUGUUUUGAAGGAGGGGAUUAUUCCAUCUCUUGUAAAUAUUUCUGUGACUGGAAGUGAAAAGGGAAAGGAGAACUCUCUUAAGCUACUCCAUGUUUUGAGAGAUACCAGAAAUAUUGACUUUGAUGAGAGCCAAAAGCCUUAUUUUGAACCUGAAUCUGAAUUUGUUGAACAUCCAGUGAAGAAAUCCAAAAAAUUAGAAUUAAAAUACAGGUCCUUUGGCUUUUUUAGUAGGAAAAUGAAACUGAUAUCAAAAUCCCUGGCAUUUUUCUGAAUCACCCUCAAUUUUUAUCAGGCCAAGAAGCUUGACCGAGAGCUAUUCACUGCAGAGUUGCAUUUCCUCAUAUAUCGCCCAGGCACACAACAGGGUACAAGCAGCUCCGGGAGAGACAGAGGGAGAUGACUAGCCAGAUCUCAUUGUUUGUCUCCAAUGCUGGUAGCCAGUCUACCGCAGCUCAAUUCGAUUUUGAGUUGUGGACGCGGGCGGCGGGGAAGAAGGGAAGAGUGUAUGGUCUCAGAGCCAAGAGGAUAGCAUUUGAGGCCGAACGUUCCCGUGUAGUUGUGGGUUGCCCUAGCUCGUUACAGGCUCAUCAUGAUGAGCUUGCUAGGAGGAUUAUGAUGAUAAAUAAAGAGCUUCGAUUGAUGCAUGAAAUCCAACAGUUGGUUGUAGAUAGUCUGCACUCAUGACAGAGAGUUUUGAUCGUCGGAGUAAGUGACGUGUUUCUAGUUGAGGAGGAUGAGGAGUGGGAUGAUGAUGAGAAGGAAGAAUAGGAUUUUUUUUUUGUGUUUGAUGAUGUU
Molecule: RNA transcript, 3058 nt
Organism: Phalaenopsis equestris
Lineage: Eukaryota; Viridiplantae; Streptophyta; Magnoliopsida; Asparagales; Orchidaceae
Gene name: U-box domain-containing protein 5-like
Exons: 8
Source: RefSeq, a predicted model, not a curated record